Molecule: transfer RNA, 75 nt
Filed under: Pseudomonadales bacterium
Lineage: Bacteria; Pseudomonadati; Pseudomonadota; Gammaproteobacteria; Pseudomonadales
Also listed under: 3 other names
Description: tRNA-Arg
Rfam family: tRNA
About the family: Transfer RNA (tRNA) molecules are approximately 80 nucleotides in length.
Source: RNAcentral
CCCCUCGUAGUUCAAUGGAUAGAAUAGGGCCCUCCUAAGGCUUAGAUGUAGGUUCGAUUCCUACCGAGGGGACCA